UACAGAGGGUGCGAGCGUUGUCCGGAAUCACUGGGCGUAAAGGGCGCGUAGGUGGUGGCUUAAGCGUGCGGUGAAAGCUCGGGGCUCAACCCCGAGUCGGCCGUGCGAACUGGGCUCACUGGAGCAUAGUAGAGGCAGGUGGAAUUCCGGGUGUAGCGGUGGAAUGCGUAGAGAUCCGGAAGAACACCGGUGGCGAAGGCGGGUCUCUGGGCAGUAACUGACGUGAGGAGCGAAAGCGUGGGGAGCGAACAGG
Molecule: ribosomal RNA, 253 nt
Filed under: uncultured bacterium
Lineage: Bacteria
Description: partial 16S ribosomal RNA
Rfam family: Bacterial small subunit ribosomal RNA
Source: RNAcentral